GGAUGACGUUCCGUCCUGCUGAUGUUUGUUUGUUUUUUUUAUUUUCCAGCAGUGACUGCUGUGCAACACCAGCAGCUCUCACUCGUGUGCCACUUGCACCAAAGGGCCAACAGUUUGUUCAUCGAUCAGUUCGGGCUCCCGAGCGCCACGGAUGGUUGUGCCGCGCAGUCGGAGCUCCCAGGGCUUGCGGCGUCCUUGACGCUCUUUUGGUUCAGUUCUCAUUUUCCCAGCUGAAAGCCUGCUGGAUUUGUGGUUGAGCGCCCCCAAGAGAGCCCCGCGCAUCCGUUGGCGGUGUGCUGAUCCAUCGAUCGGCCGACUUUGACUUUUUCCCCAACUGGUGUUGACGUGAGGCCCAAAAGAAAAAUCACGAUGGCUGCAGUUACACUGACCUCUUCCUUUCUUCCUUCCACAGCGUUGGAGAGGAGAGGUGGGAGAAAUUAUCCUUUGUGUCCAGCAGCUGUGGAGAGAAGGAGCUUCUCCGUGUCUCUGAUUUUGUCCUCGUCCCGGCCGUGAUUGAAAUCGCAGAGCAUAAAACGACCUUAGAAUUUCCAUGAUGCAAUCGGGGAGAAGAGAGGGAGAGAGAAGAAAAUAAAACAUUGCGCCGAGCAGCGGGAUGAGAGCGAUUGAGACGCAGUGCAUUAUGGGAAGUGUGUACCCACGCUCUCGCCUGAUGUCUGACGCUCAACUGUGUCACGAGCUGUACUCUCUUCUCAUCGCGGGCUCUUUGUGGAGAACACACACACAUCAGCGAGACGUGCAGGGCCUCCUCGACUCGGUCGCGUCAUGGGCCCCGGUGCCUGCUGGGACGCUCCCUCAUUACUAUGUUCCUGGAAGCUGGGAAAUAAAGCGCUACCGGCGCGGAGCUGUCACACACUGUGUGUGUUACACCGGCGGCGGGACCCCAUAA
Molecule: long non-coding RNA, 907 nt
Filed under: Scleropages formosus (Asian bonytongue)
Lineage: Eukaryota; Metazoa; Chordata; Actinopteri; Osteoglossiformes; Osteoglossidae
Description: lncRNA (ENSSFOG00015030149.1)
Source: RNAcentral